Molecule: non-coding RNA, 213 nt
Organism: Pelobates cultripes (western spadefoot toad)
Lineage: Eukaryota; Metazoa; Chordata; Amphibia; Anura; Pelobatidae
Source: the annotation of a GenBank genome assembly
CUCACAGCAUAACUUAAGUGCACAUAUACAUUCGACUGGAGGAAAAAGUCGCUCUCUUACUUAGGGAUUAAACUCACUAAAUCAAUAAGCAUACUACAAAAAGAAAACCAUAUUCCUCUGAUUCAGAAACUCACAACACAAUUAACAUCAUGGGAAGACCUAGAGGUUUCCUGGAUAGGCCACAUCAACUCAAUUAAGAUGAUGAUUCUCCCG